CCUACGGGUGGCAGCAGUCGAGAAUCAUUCACAAUGGGGGAAACCCUGAUGGUGCGACGCCGCGUGGGGGAAUGAAGGUCUUCGGAUUGUAAACCCCUGUCAUGUGGGAGCAAAUUAAAAAGAUAGUACCACAAGAGGAAGAGACGGCUAACUCAGUGUCAGCAGCCGCGGUAAUACCGAGGUCUCAAGCGUUGUUCGGAAUCACUGGGCGUAAAGCGUGCGUAGGCUGUUUCGUAAGUCGCGUGUGAAAGGCGCGGGCUCAACCCGCGGAGGGCAGAUGAUACUGCGAGACUAGAGUAAGGGAGGGGGAACCGGAAUUCUCGGUGUAGCAGUGAAAUGCGUAGAUAUCGAGAGGAACACUCGUGGCGAAGGCGGGUUCCUGGACAUUAACUGACGCUGAGGCACGAAGGCCAGGGGAGCGAAAGGGAUUAGAUACCCCAGUAGUC
This 446-nucleotide ribosomal RNA is filed under the name uncultured bacterium. Its description in RNAcentral is "partial 16S ribosomal RNA". It matches the Rfam family "Bacterial small subunit ribosomal RNA", at positions 338 to 795 of the family's 1533-position model. The record is from RNAcentral.